CUUACCAAAUAAUCUUAACUAUACACAUUCUUCUAUUGUCCCAGAGUUUAUCCUUUGGAUUCUAUUUCUUUAAAACAUGUUCGCCAAAUGCAGAUGCCCCACAGUUUUGCCAUAAAGUGAACUGAUGCAGUAACUGCCUGUAUCCUGUGGAAUUAAAGACUUGUUCCUAGGCCUUAAAGAAGAUCGCCAUUCAACUCUUCCACAUCUCUCUCCCGGAGCUUCCAAAUGAUGACAGACUGACAAAUGUGAAUAUUCUUCCGAUUUUCAGGUUACCAUCAGCAAGAACACCGGCACUUUUCUUCGUCUCAAAAAAAGCCUGCACUGAAAAAGCCUGGACUGAAAAAGCAUGCUCAUAGAAACAAUGGAAUAAUUAUUUUAGAAAGGAACAAUGCCUACUUGUACAGCAUCAUAAAACAUUCAUAGACUGUGCAUGAUAGACAGAACCUCAAACAAAUGCUGUAUUUAAUAUUUUCUGAAGAUA
Long non-coding RNA from Lepisosteus oculatus (spotted gar), 481 nucleotides. RefSeq lists it as uncharacterized. NCBI's taxonomy places the organism in Eukaryota, Metazoa, Chordata, Actinopteri, Semionotiformes, Lepisosteidae. The record is from RefSeq and is a predicted model, not a curated record.